CAGCGCCAGAAAGUUUGAGAGUAUGUUGUCCCUCGUAAUGUGUUUUGAAGGUUCAAGUAGGCAUUUUGUGGAAUACGAGUCUUCUUUUUAAGCUAAAUAUCAGGAUAUCGGGACAUCUGGAUUGCAGUCUUGAAGACCACCUGCACAUGAUGAUCCUGGCAGUGGCACUGUGGAAUGCCUACUACCUGAUGUCAAAGUAUUGGAAGACCCUAAUGAUGAUGGUAGUGAUGAAGAAGCACAUUCUAGGAAGUGCAGAGAGUCAGUCUGACACUGACUUUGUGGCUCCCACAUACUCUGCCCAUACUUUGGACGCAGGUAUUUCUUUGCCCUGAAUAACGAGGACAUCUAACAUGAAAUUCACUGCUCCAGAGAGAUAAUCUUAACUACAAUACCUGCUGUUGCAACAAUGAAAAUGUUGGAUUAAAGAAACAGACAAAAAUCAGCUGGUUCUAAGUACUUUUCUAUAUAUACUUAUACCCAAGGAGCAUGAGCAAACCUAUGAUACAGUCAGAAUGACUAGAAGAAAGAACAUCUGGGAUUAUUGUCGUAGCUUGUGCAAAACUCUCCAACUAAAAAAAAUGCAAAGUCUUUUUAGGUAAUAUCAAAGAAUGCAGGACUGCUAAAAUAUUACAAAUUAUUUAAAAAAAUAAGCAAUAACCUAACUAUGUGCAUUGCUUCAACAAAAUUCAAUAGAAAGAUAGGCCAAGCAAUUGGACAUAUAGCAACUAAUGGGGGUGAGGGUGGAUAAAUAAAAUAAUGCGAAGGCUAAAACUAUAUGGUACAAAGUAACAGAGUAUAAGUAAUAGCAAUGAUAAAAUAGAAAAACAAUAAAAGGCAGGCAAAAGAAUGGUAAAGCAUAAAUGAAUGAAAACUAAGUAAAGACGAAAUCAUGAGGAAAUGACACCCAGAAACAAAACGAGGGAGUCAGAAACAAGUUUAUGAAAUAGAUAUAUAGAAUACAACCUAGUACAUAAAUCAGACAGAGGUACAUUCAUUCAUUAAGUCUUAGUUUGCCCACAUAAUCUAGGUCAGGGUUGUUGGGAACUUGUGUCUCAGCUCCCACUUGGUGCAUGAUAGAAGAACAAUACUAAUCCUAAAUGGGUUUGGGGGGGUUAACCGCCUGCUGGACACAUAUGCUUUCAUACAAUACACAAACAGAUGGACAGAAAGACACAAUUAAACACAGAGGAAAACAUGCAUUGUCUACCUAAAAUGCUCCCCAGCCAAGAACCUCACUGAAGAUCUUAAUCUUGUGGGUUAGCAAUACUGUUAUACGACUGUGACACCUAGGAGAAGGUACACAUACUGAAAGCCUGAUGCACCAAAUCCAGCACUGGUUUAAAAACGAGCUGUGUGAAGAUGCUGAUUUAUACCUAAUGAGGAAGAAAUGGAAAGCAUUUAUGCAAUAUUUAUGUAAUUGUUUGAUGAAACUGUCAAAGUCUGUAAUAAUUUGUUGUGCCGAAUAUCUUUCUCUUAUGGCUGCCUGUAAAAGAAAUAAAAAAUAAUAAUUUGAUAUUGUACUGUCCACACAGAAAAUUAAUAUAGUUCCUAUGAGAUGUUGGCAGUUACUUUAAUCAAAUUAACUGAAGAUUUUCUAGAAUUAAUGCUUCCUGUUAAAAAACAAAAUACAUUAAUUAUGAACUCAAGAGCAGCAAGUACAACCAUAUAAAAAAAUCUUUGACAUUGAAUGCUGGAUAAGUUGAAAGUGAGUACUUGCAUAAGUUGGUAACUUGUCUGAUAUUAAAAGAAGUAUAUUAACGUCUUACAAAUUACUGUGGCAGAAUAAGUUGGACCUCUAAGGCUACUAUCUCAUUUUAUCAUUAUUAACCAUAGACUUGUGCUGUUCCGGGAUAAGCAGUAGAGGCUGGAGAGAGAGAGAAGCAUACCUCUCAAGUGUACCUCAUUACAAGGAAUGUUUCUCAUUUUGAGUCUUAACAAGUCCAUGUUCCACAUUGUUAAAUUGAAAGACUCUGUCACACAUUCAUUUGUAAGGCUUUUUUUAGUUAAUAUCUGGGGUUACUGAGCUUACUAAUUGAAGUUGUUACUAAGUGUUUAGCAGGUGUUUCACUUUUUAUCCAUUCGUUCCACAUUUUGGGAGAUGGAGGUUUGACACAGUGAAGUAAGGUGGAAGGAGACAUAGGGAGAGAGGGGGAGAGAGCUAGAGAGCCAUUCUGAAGCAGAACAAGUACCUCCAAACCCUUGACGUUCAUGCAAGAAGGCUUGAAUGAAGUAGAAAAGGACCUGAUAAGGCAGACAUGAAGAACCUUCAGAAAGUACGAAAACAGGAAUAAAUACUGUAGCAGAAAAAAAAAAAAACAUAUCAUAGCCAUUUACAAACCUUUACCCAAAAGCCACUAAAAUUUAAUUUCAUUUAAUAACUUAAUGUUGUCUCCUUAGGUGGUAGUAACAUUUAUUUAUUUUUUCCUGGCAACAUCUCUUUAGUUCCACUUUGCAUCUGCUCUUUAAAAAAAUGUCUUUUCUCAGUCCUACUACU
Protopterus annectens (West African lungfish) is the source of this 2494-nucleotide long non-coding RNA. RefSeq lists it as uncharacterized. The transcript is spliced from 4 exons. The record is from RefSeq and is a predicted model, not a curated record. NCBI's taxonomy places the organism in Eukaryota, Metazoa, Chordata, Ceratodontiformes, Protopteridae.